GUAGGGAAUUUUCGUCAAUGGGGGGAACCCUGAACGAGCGAUGCCGCGUGAGUGAAGAAGGCCUUCGGGUCGUAAAGCUCUGUUGCGGGGGAAAAAAGGGACGGACAGGAAAUGGUCUGUCACUGAUGGUGCCCCGCCAGAAAGUCACGGCUAACUACGUGCCAGCAGCCGCGGUAAUACGUAGGUGGCGAGCGUUAUCCGGAAUGAUUGGGCGUAAAGGGUGCGUAGGCGGCGUGCCAAGUCUGGAGUGAAAAGGAGGGGCUCAACCCCUGCUGGCUUUGGAAACUGGCAUGCUGGAGAGCAGGAGAGGGCGGUGGAACUCCAUGUGUAGCGGUAAAAUGCGUAGAUAUAUGGAAGAACACCAGUGGCGAAGGCGGCCGCCUGGCCUGUUACUGACGCUGAGGCACGAAAGCGUGGGGAGCAAAUAGGAUUAGAAACCCUAGUAGUCC
This 449-nucleotide ribosomal RNA is filed under the name uncultured bacterium. RNAcentral's name for it is "bacterial SSU rRNA". It matches the Rfam family "Bacterial small subunit ribosomal RNA", at positions 354 to 796 of the family's 1533-position model. The record is from RNAcentral.